RNAcentral lists this ribosomal RNA (254 nucleotides) under uncultured bacterium. RNAcentral's name for it is "partial 16S ribosomal RNA". It matches the Rfam family "Bacterial small subunit ribosomal RNA", at positions 524 to 776 of the family's 1533-position model. The record is from RNAcentral.
UACGGGGGGGGCAAGCGUUGUUCGGAAUUACUGGGCGUAAAGGGCUCGUAGGCGGCCAACUAAGUCAGACGUGAAAUCCCUCGGCUUAACCGGGGAACUGCGUCUGAUACUGGAUGGCUUGAGAUUGGGAGAGGGAUGCGGAACUCCAGGUGUAGCGGUGAAAUGCGUAGAUAUCUGGAGGAACACCGGUGGCGAAGGCGGCAUCCUGGACCAACACUGACGCUGAGUGAGCGAAAGCCAGGGGAGCAAACGGG